GGAGUGAACGCUGGCGGCAGGCCUAAUACAUGCAAGUCGAACGGCAGCACAGCAGAGCUUGCUCUGUGGGUGGCGAGUGGCGGACGGGUGAGGAAUACAUGGGAAUCUGCCCAGUCGUGGGGGAUAACGUAUGGAAACGUACGCUAAUACCGCAUGCGCCCUUUGGGGGAAAGCCGGGGAUCUUCGGACCUGGCGCGAUUGGAUGAGCCCAUGUCGGAUUAGCUAGGUUGGGGGGGUAAAGCCCACCAAGGCGACGAUCCGUAGCUGGUCUGAGAGGAUGAUCAGCCACACUGGAACUGAGACACGGU
Molecule: ribosomal RNA, 308 nt
Filed under: uncultured soil bacterium
Lineage: Bacteria
Description: bacterial SSU rRNA
Rfam family: Bacterial small subunit ribosomal RNA
Source: RNAcentral